GACGAACGCUGGCGGCGUGCUUAACACAUGCAAGUCGAACGGAAAGGCCUUUUCGGAGGUACUCGAGUGGCGAACGGGUGAGUAACACGUGGGUGAUCUGCCCUGCACUCUGGGAUAAGCCUGGGAAACUGGGUCUAAUACCGGAUAGGACCGCACUUUAGUGUGUGUGGUGGCAAGUUUUUUCGGUGUAGGAUGAGCCCGCGGCCUAUCAGCUUGUUGGUGGGGUAAUGGCCUACCAAGGCGGCGACGGGUAGCCGGACUGAGAGGUUGUUCGGCCACAUUGGGACUGAGAUACGGCCCAGACUCCUACGGGAGGCAGCAGUGGGGAAUAUUGCACAAUGGGCGCAAGCCUGAUGCAGCGACGCCGCGUGGGGGAUGACGGCCUUCGGGUUGUAAACUCCUUUCGCCAGGGACGAAGCGUUUUGUGACGGUACCUGGAGAAGAAGCACCGGCUAACUACGUG
Molecule: ribosomal RNA, 463 nt
Filed under: uncultured bacterium
Lineage: Bacteria
Description: partial 16S ribosomal RNA
Rfam family: Bacterial small subunit ribosomal RNA
Source: RNAcentral